RNAcentral lists this ribosomal RNA (561 nucleotides) under uncultured bacterium. RNAcentral describes it as "partial 16S ribosomal RNA". It matches the Rfam family "Bacterial small subunit ribosomal RNA", at positions 355 to 1375 of the family's 1533-position model. The record is from RNAcentral.
UGGGGAAUAUUGGACAAUGGGGCAACCCUGAUCCAGCCACGCCGCGUGAGUGAUGAAGGCCCUAGGGUUGUAAAGCUCUUUUGUGCGGGAAGAUAAUGACGGUACCGCAAGAAUAAGCCCCGGCUAACUUCGUGCCAGCAGCCGCGGUAAUACGAAGGGGGCUAGCGUUGCUCGGAAUCACUGGGCGUAAAGGGUGCGUAGGCGGGUUUCUAAGCCAGAGGUGAAAGCCUGGAGCUCAACUCCAGAACUGCCUUUGAUACUGGAAGUCUUGAGUAUGGCAGAGGUGAGUGGAACUGCGAGUGUAGAGGUGAAAUUCGUAGAUAUUCGCAAGAACACCAGUGGCGAAGGCGGCUCACUGGGCCAUUACUGACGCUGAGGCACGAAAGCGUGGGGAGCAAAACAGGAUUAGAUACCCUGGUAGUCCACGCCGUAAACGAUGAAUGCCAGCCGUUAGUGGGUUUUACUCACUAGUGGCGCAGCUAACGCUUUAAGCAUUCCGCCUGGGGAGUACGGUCGCAAGAUUAAAACUCAAAUGAAUUGACGGGGUCAUAGCUGUUUCCU